Molecule: non-coding RNA, 218 nt
Organism: Pelobates cultripes (western spadefoot toad)
Lineage: Eukaryota; Metazoa; Chordata; Amphibia; Anura; Pelobatidae
Source: the annotation of a GenBank genome assembly
CUAGGGUACACCAUGGGCAAUGCCGGUGUUGGCUGCUGUCAGUCUAGAAGAGUUAAUAUUCUCAAGUUUAAUUAAAAGCCUUGAAUCUAAUUUUGAUAUUCUGUACCAACUGCUUUGUUGAACAAAACAGUAAAUUGAAAACCAUGAGUCACAAACAAUCACUUUAAAAAGAUGAGUAAUCACUUAGCAAAUGUUAUAGGAAUGUAAGUAUAGCAGCU